RNAcentral lists this transfer RNA (72 nucleotides) under Ovis aries (sheep). It matches the Rfam family "tRNA". Rfam says of the family: Transfer RNA (tRNA) molecules are approximately 80 nucleotides in length. Their secondary structure includes four short double-helical elements and three loops (D, anti-codon, and T loops). Further hydrogen bonds mediate the characteristic L-shaped molecular structure. tRNAs have two regions of fundamental functional importance: the anti-codon, which is responsible for specific mRNA codon recognition, and the 3' end, to which the tRNAs corresponding amino acid is attached (by aminoacyl-tRNA synthetases). tRNAs cope with the degeneracy of the genetic code in two manners: having more than one tRNA (with a specific anti-codon) for a particular amino acid; and 'wobble' base-pairing, i.e. permitting non-standard base-pairing at the 3rd anti-codon position. The record is from Rfam by way of RNAcentral. Lineage: Eukaryota; Metazoa; Chordata; Mammalia; Artiodactyla; Bovidae.
UCCCUGGUGGCUCAGACGGUAAAGCGUCUGCCUGCAAUGCAGGAGACCUGGGUUCAAUUCCUGGGUAGGGAA